AUACGUAGGUGACAAGCGUUAUCCGGAUUUACUGGGUGUAAAGGGCGUGUAGGCGGUUUAGCAAGUCAGAAGUGAAAUUCCCGGGCUUAACUUGGGCGCUGCUUCUGAAACUGCUUUACUUGAGUGCUGGAGAGGAUAGUGGAAUUCCUAGCGUAGCGGUCAAAUGCGCAGAUAUUAGGAGGAACACCGGUGGCGAAGGCGGCUAUCUGGACAGUAACUGACGCUGAGGCGCGAAAGCACGGGGAGCAAACAGGAUUAGAUACCCUGGUAGUCCACACUGUAAACGAUGAAUGCUAGGUGUAGGGGGUAUCGACCCCUUCUGUGCCGCAGUCAACACAAUAAGCAUUCCGCCUGGGGAGUACGGCCGCAAGGUUGAAACUCAAAUGAAUUGACGGGG
This 397-nucleotide ribosomal RNA is filed under the name uncultured bacterium. Its description in RNAcentral is "partial 16S ribosomal RNA". It matches the Rfam family "Bacterial small subunit ribosomal RNA", at positions 523 to 918 of the family's 1533-position model. The record is from RNAcentral.